Molecule: ribosomal RNA, 472 nt
Filed under: uncultured bacterium
Lineage: Bacteria
Description: bacterial SSU rRNA
Rfam family: Bacterial small subunit ribosomal RNA
Source: RNAcentral
GAGUUUGAUCCUGGUUCAGGAUGAACGCUAGCUACAGGCUUAACACAUGCAAGUCGAGCGGUUUGUGCUUUUGCACAUUCAGCGGCAGACGGGUGAGUAACACGUAUCUAACCUUCCCCUUACUUGGGCAUAGCCUCUGGAAACGGAGAUUAAUUUCCGAUGUGGUGUACAUUUCGCAUGUUUUGCGCACCAAAGAUUUAUCGGUAAGGGAUGGGGAUGCGCUCCAUUAGGUUGUAGGUAGGGUAAUGGCCUACCUAGCCUAUGAUGGAUAGGGGUUCUGAGAGGAAGGUCCCCCACAUUGGAACUGCGACACGGUCCAAACUCCUACGGGAGGCAGCAGUGAGGAAUAUUGGUCAAUGGCCGGAAGGCUGAACCAGCCAAGUAGCGUGCAGGAUGACUGCCUUAUGGGUUGUAAACUGCUUUUUUACGGGAAUAAUUAUGAUCACGUGUAAUUAUUUGCAUGUACCGUAAG